AGUAACAAACCCAAAGAAAAC
This 21-nucleotide microRNA is filed under the name Corchorus capsularis. RNAcentral's name for it is "sRNA CCACVL1_18021". Lineage: Eukaryota; Viridiplantae; Streptophyta; Magnoliopsida; Malvales; Malvaceae. The record is from RNAcentral.